GUAGGUGGCAAGCGUUGUCCGGAAUUAUUGGGCGUAAAGCGCGCGCAGGCGGUUCUUUAAGUCUGAUGUGAAAGCCCACGGCUCAACCGUGGAGGGUCAUUGGAAACUGGAGAACUUGAGUACAGAAGAGGAAAGCGGAAUUCCACGUGUAGCGGUGAAAUGCGUAGAGAUGUGGAGGAACACCAGUGGCGAAGGCGGCUUUCUGGUCUGUAACUGACGCUGAGGCGCGAAAGCGUGGGGAGCAAACAGGAUUAGAUACCCUGGUAGUCCACGCCGUAAACGAUGAGUGCUAAGUGUUAGGGGGUUUCCGCCCCCCUUAGUGCUGCAGCUAGCGCAUUAAGCACUCCGCCUGGGAGUACGGCCGCAAGGCUG
Molecule: ribosomal RNA, 372 nt
Filed under: uncultured organism
Description: partial 16S ribosomal RNA
Rfam family: Bacterial small subunit ribosomal RNA
Source: RNAcentral